AUGAACUGGGAGAGCUCGAGGAAGAGACGACAGUUAAACGGACGGGGGAGAGUGCUGGGGACUGAGCGGCAGGAGACGGAGCUGCGUACUGCCGGAUGACUGUAAAAAGUGUGACAGACCUGGCUCUGGACGGCGACUCUGGGGGAGAGAGAUACUGACCAAAUUCCCCAGCGGCUCCUGUGAAGUGGAUAGCGGGACCGAAGUGUGGACGGCUGUGGCGAGCGGUGACGGGCUCCGACAUCAGUAAAUCCCUCUGGGCGGAGCGGAAGAGGAGUCUCCUGAUAGUGACCCCGUGUGGCUGUGGGCGGCGAUAUCAGUGAGUCCACAGCAGAGCUAUCCCUCGCUGGGCGGAUCAAGAGGCGGCGCUGCCCCACAAACCAGGCCCCAAAUCGGUCGCUUGUCCGGUGAAUUCACGAUAUCCUGAUCCUGGAGAGUCCUGUACAGUGAGGGCAACCUGGAAAACAAGAAAAUACUGGAUAACGCAGAACGAAACCAAUUCUUGAACUAGAGUUCCAGCCGAAUGAACAUAAACCCAGAGUAUCCUCAACACGCUGUCCACCUGAAGAAAAAUGACCACAUCGACUGCGAUUCUUGAUCAUCUCUCCUGGUUGUCCGCACUUCCUGAUGGUUGCAUGGGCUGGUGAGAAGUUUUUUCUUUGUAUGCCCCCAUCGCUUUGAAGUACAGUACAGUACUAGUAGGACUCAUCCUCUGCAGUUUAAAGGAUCCGGUUAGGAUCCCGGUGUACGGGACCCCGGCAGUCGGAAUCCCGUCACAGCUCAUAAUGCCGACGCCAGCAUCCCGACAUGGAUUGAAAUGCCGAAAUCUGGAAUCCCGGAAUCCCAAUCGAGGGCGGCUGGGACUCCACUCUGAUAAUUCGGGGGGAGGGAGGUUAGGUCUAGGCUGCGUGAGGGUUAGAGUUAGGCUGUGGGGAGUAAGGUUUAGGCACUCGCG
Long non-coding RNA from Pseudophryne corroboree (corroboree frog), 952 nucleotides. RefSeq lists it as uncharacterized. The record is from RefSeq and is a predicted model, not a curated record. The transcript is spliced from 5 exons. Lineage: Eukaryota; Metazoa; Chordata; Amphibia; Anura; Myobatrachidae.